Molecule: ribosomal RNA, 458 nt
Filed under: uncultured bacterium
Lineage: Bacteria
Description: partial 16S ribosomal RNA
Rfam family: Bacterial small subunit ribosomal RNA
Source: RNAcentral
CCUACGGGUGGCAGCAGUGAGGAAUAUUGGUCAAUGGGCGAGAGCCUGAACCAGCCAAGUCGCGUGAGGGAGUACUGCCCUAUGGGUUGUAAACCUCUUUUGUCGGGGAGCAAAAGCCGGACGUGUCCGGCUGUGAGAGUACCCGAAGAAAAAGCAUCGGCUAACUCCGUGCCAGCAGCCGCGGUAAUACGGAGGAUGCGAGCGUUAUCCGGAUUUAUUGGGUUUAAAGGGUGCGCAGGCGGAUUUUUAAGUCAGCGGUAAAAUCGUGGGGCUCAACCCCAUCCAGCCGUUGAAACUGGGGAUCUAGAGUGGGCGAGAGGUAUGCGGAAUGCGUGGUGUAGCGGUGAAAUGCAUAGAUAUCACGCAGAACCCCGAUUGCGAAGGCAGCAUACCGGUGCACAACUGACGCUCAGGCACGAAAGCGUGGGUAUCGAACAGGAUUAGAUACCCCGGUAGUC